This 473-nucleotide ribosomal RNA is filed under the name uncultured bacterium. RNAcentral's name for it is "bacterial SSU rRNA". It matches the Rfam family "Bacterial small subunit ribosomal RNA", at positions 8 to 526 of the family's 1533-position model. The record is from RNAcentral.
AGGGUUUGAUUAUGGCUCAGAACGUACGCUGGCGGCACGCCUAACACAUGCAAGUCGAACGAAGUAGCAAUACUUAGUGGCAGACGGGUGAGUAACAUGUAGGUAUCUGCCCUUUGGCCUGGAAUAACACGAGGAAACUUGUGCUAAUACCGGAUAAGUCUUUACGGAGAAAGCUUUAUGCACCAUUGGAUGAGCCUGCACUUGAUUAGUUUGUUGGUGGGGUAAUGGCCUACCAAGACUGUGAUCAAUAGCUGAUUUGAGAGGAUGAUCAGCCACAUUGGGACUGAGACACGGCCCAAACUCCUACGGGAGGCAGCAGUGGGGAAUCUUGCACAAUGGAGGAAACUCUGAUGCAGCGAUGCCGCGUGAGUGAAGAAGGCCUUUGGGUUGUAAAGCUCUUUCGUCGGGGAAGAAAAUGACUGUACCCGAAUAAGAAGGUCCGGCUAACUUCGUGCCAGCAGCCGCGGUAAUAC